Molecule: ribosomal RNA, 253 nt
Filed under: uncultured bacterium
Lineage: Bacteria
Description: partial 16S ribosomal RNA
Rfam family: Bacterial small subunit ribosomal RNA
Source: RNAcentral
UACAGAGGUCUCAAGCGUUGUUCGGAUUCAUUGGGCGUAAAGGGCGCGUAGGCGGGAUGGCAAGUCGGUCGUGAAAUCCCUCGGCUCAACUGAGGAGCGUCGAUCGAAACUGCCGUUCUUGAGGGUUGCAGAGGAGACUGGAAUUCCCGGUGUAGCGGUGAAAUGUGUAGAGAUCGGGAGGAACACCGGUGGCGAAGGCGGGUCUCUGGGCAACUCCUGACGCUGAGGCGCGAAAGCGUGGGGAGCAAACGGG